RNAcentral lists this ribosomal RNA (498 nucleotides) under uncultured bacterium. RNAcentral's name for it is "bacterial SSU rRNA". It matches the Rfam family "Bacterial small subunit ribosomal RNA", at positions 8 to 526 of the family's 1533-position model. The record is from RNAcentral.
AGAGUUUGAUCAUGGCUCAGAACGAACGCUGGCGGCAUGCCUAAUACAUGCAAGUCGAACGAUCACUUCGGGUCUAGUGGCGCACGGGUGCGUAACGCGUGGGAAUCUGCCCUUCGGUUCGGAAUAACUCAGGGAAACUUGAGCUAAUACCGGAUGAUGACUUCGGUCCAAAGAUUUAUCGCCGAGGGAUGAGCCCGCGUCGGAUUAGCUAGUUGGUGAGGUAAUGGCUCACCAAGGCGUCGACGGGUAGCCGGCCUGAGAGGGUGACCGGCCACACUGGGACUGAGACACGGCCCAGACUCCUACGGGAGGCAGCAGUGGGGAAUAUUGCACAAUGGGCGCAAGCCUGAUGCAGCAACGCCGCGUGCGGGAUGACGGCCUUCGGGUUGUAAACUCCUGUCGACUGGGACGAAAGUAGUCCGAUCCAAUACAUCGGGCUAUCGACUGUACCGGUGGAGGAAGCCACGGCUAACUCUGUGCUAGCAGCCGCGGUAAUAC